Molecule: long non-coding RNA, 1148 nt
Organism: Astatotilapia calliptera (eastern happy)
Lineage: Eukaryota; Metazoa; Chordata; Actinopteri; Cichliformes; Cichlidae
Source: Ensembl
GGCAGAGUGGAGGAACCCACCCACGGCCCGGUGCACACUUGGGUCCAAGAGCAUCAGAAACGUCUAGAUGUAGCUUAUAAAGGUGUGAGUAACCGCACCAAAGCAGCAGCGACGCUGCGUGCAGAUCGUCAACCUGCCCCAUAUUCUGACCCCUUGCCAUUGCAUCAGUUAGUGUAUUUGAGAGAUCAUAGCAUUCGGGGACGGAAUAAAAUCCAAGAUUUUUGGGGCGUUACACCGUAUUGUAUUGUCCGUGCCCCUGCUGAUGCUGGUCCUGUGUAUACAGUGGCCCCACUCAAUGAUGCAGAACAGAAAAGACAGGUUAAUAGACAAUUUAUCAAGCCGAUCCCUGCUGAUAUCUGUGAGAAAAUAAGGGCAGAGCUCCAGCAAACUGCUAACCCUAGAAGUUCACCUGACCGGUUACCCCCGUCUGAGGAGGAGGGAGACUUUUAUGUGUGGCAACGAAGGGAGUCCCCAAGAGGUGACCCCCAAAGUGUACAAACUGAUUCUGCACCUUGUCCCCAACAACUCCCAGAAGACCUGGCUAUAGUAAUGAGGCCGCAGUCCAGAAGGACUGAGCCUGGUACCCUGACUCCACAGUGUAGUGUCCCCACUCCAUUAGCUGAAAGUGGUACAGUUAGAAGAACGACACGCUCAACAGCUGGCCACCAUUCCAAUCCACACCAUCUGCCCCAAUCAGCUGAAGCAAGGCCACCUAGUGUACAUUCAGUUACAGCUUUUUAUAGACCGUGGCUUUAAGGUUUCAUUGUCGGGUCGCCAAUGCAAAAACCAGGGGGGAGAAUGUGACAGGUGAGACCUGGAGACUUGGGACCGCCCCUGGUGGGCGGAGCUGGUCUUCGCUCCUUUCAUAAGCGCAGGUGUGGGCAAUUGGGUAUUCCUUUGCAAACCUGAAGCUGCGGGUGCUUGGUCCGAGUUGGGCAAGUUGGUGUUUCUUAACUAUGAAAGUCUGAUACGCGUCCUCCCCUAAACUUCUGUUAGAACGGUGGGAAACAUUGCUCCCGUGAGAACGGUAUAGUGGACUUCAUCGCCACUGACCCACAUUUAUUAGGGUGUGACACGAACUUGUGGACAGAGUACCGAGCUGCUGCUUUGCCAGGUGGAUUUCUGGCUGCGGGCAAAGGACCCGACAC